GACGAGCCACACGAACGUUAUUCGGAAUUACUGGGCUUAAAGGGUGCGUAGGCGGUGCGGAAAGUUGGGUGUGAAAUCCCUCGGCUCAACCGAGGAACUGCGCCCAAAACUACCGUACUUGAGGAAGAUAGAGGUGAGCGGAACUCACGGUGGAGCGGUGAAAUGCGUUGAUAUCGUGAGGAACACCCGUGGCGAAAGCGGCUCACUGGGUCUUUUCUGACGCUGAUGCACGAAAGCCAGGGGAGCAAACGGG
Molecule: ribosomal RNA, 253 nt
Filed under: uncultured bacterium
Lineage: Bacteria
Description: partial 16S ribosomal RNA
Rfam family: Bacterial small subunit ribosomal RNA
Source: RNAcentral